GCGGUGGCAAUGAAUGGUUGUGAAGCCCCCUGAAAGAGGGAUGGGUUUGACUACGGAUCAGAAGGUUGGGGAUUCGAGUUCUCCCGGGCGCGCCA
Molecule: transfer RNA, 95 nt
Filed under: Alphaproteobacteria bacterium
Lineage: Bacteria; Pseudomonadati; Pseudomonadota; Alphaproteobacteria
Description: tRNA-Ser
Source: RNAcentral